Long non-coding RNA from Phragmites australis (common reed), 539 nucleotides. RefSeq lists it as uncharacterized. The record is from RefSeq and is a predicted model, not a curated record. NCBI's taxonomy places the organism in Eukaryota, Viridiplantae, Streptophyta, Magnoliopsida, Poales, Poaceae. The transcript has 4 exons.
ACUUUCACUUCUGGCAUCAGAAGUUCCACCCAGCAAUGCACAUCACAUAUGCACGUGGUAGAUCUGAAUUGCUCGAUGCAACAUCUGGAGUGUACGGAAAGAAAGCUUAAUGGAUAACCUUGCUGAACCUCCUCGUAAUCUGCCGACUUUGAUCUGUUACUUGUCAGGUUGCAUUAGUUCAAGGUUGCACAUUUCAAACUUGAGGCGUACCUUUCCCCUCCUGUCAACAUCAGUUCAAUUGAAAAGGCUCAAGUUUUCCUUGAGGUCAGGUCAAAGUCGAUGGGCGAACUGACGAAGGGGGAGGGAGGUUCCGACGCCCAAGUUUCGCUCCCACCGGUUUCGGAUGCGUGGCGCUAAAGCGAAGCACGCAUGGUGGCAACUGUAGCGCCACUACCAAACGGCUCGAGGUAAUCUUCUUGGCCGGCUCCUGGUUGCCGCAAUCAGCCGUGGUUUGUGCUUGCAGUUGCAGUUGCUUGUUCCCACUUACCACUUCAUUGGUUAUUGCACUGGAUGUCUUUUUCUCGAACACGCGUGUCAAU